AUCCUCCAAAGAAGCCGCUUCUAAGCGCACUCUGAUGAAGUAAGAGUUAAACUACUUAUACUUAUAUGAAACCUGAAUGAACUUUAUCAUUUUGUCCUCUCAGACUAUAGAUCUUUACUGUUAGUCCUCUUUAAUGAAGACCACCUACUGUUCUUCGACGGUAGAGGGACACCUAAAAUAGAGACAAGUUCUAUCGAAAUUUAAGUUAAUAAAGUACGACGAGAGAAAACUAGUCGGAACCAAGGGGAACCAUCCUCUAAGGCUAAGUAUUAUAAAUUUAGCGAUAGUGAAAAAGUACUGUAAAGGAAAAAAUUGAAAAGCGGGUAGUAGACCAAAAGACUCCUGAAAGGUUAACGGUUAGUUGAAGUAGAAGCCUCUCUAUCCUGAUCAGGUACAUAGUACUUGAAAGUUUUCUUCCUCUCUCUUUAUCUCCGACCCUCGGUCGGAUAUUUUCAGGAAACAGAGGUGUAAAAUGAAAAAAUAUUUUUGAACCUUUAAAUUCACUUACGAAUAGUAUCUAAAAAAUCUAAACGUAGAGUCUAAAGGAAAAAAUCAAUUUUGGAUGCGUUUGGAAUUCCGCCUGAGGAAGCUUCCUUACAACUACACUGUAUAAUCUCGUAGGAGGAUAAAGUGAUUAAUAUAUACAAAUUUAACACUUUCGGUGAAAAAGAACAUGAAUUAGUAACUCUAUAAGCAGUCGAAAUCCUUUAACAGGGACUACGGCGUACCUUUUGCAUAAUGGGUGAAUAGCUUGCCCUGAAGAAUUGUGAAAUUCUUUGUAAAUCUGACUCAUGACCUUUUAGGUCGGUAUUAUUACGCAUCCUAGAUGACUGAUAAUGCUAACGGUGAACCCUAAGGAUAACCUCUAAGGGAAUACCGUGGGAAGCUGUAAAUCGUAGGAAUAAGUGAAUUAUAAUUAAUCACUAGGUAAAAAUCUUUACCCUUUUUAUUAGCCCUGUAACGACUGAUUCGAAAGAAGAGAUUGAUUGCUAAAUUAAACAAUCGAUAACACGUCAGCACUCGAGCAUUCCAAAAAAUUAUGAUCAGCUAGUUAAUAGGAGUAGCAAGGUUAAAAGCCCUAGCGAAAGCGACUGGACUAUUGAACAUAUCAACAUUUCUACGAGUACUCUAACCAGUCCUUGAUAGUUUUAUGUUUGAAUAUAAAAUAAUAGUAAUGGAUAAGUUGCUUCUAUUAGACCCGAAGCCAGGUGAUCUUACCAAGACCAGAUGAUAAUAGAUCGAACGGAUGAAUGUUGCAUUAUUCCCCGAUGAGUCUUGGUAAGCGGUGAAAUGCCAAUCUGACCUGGUGAUAGCUGGUUUUCUACCGAAACAUAUUUAAGUAUGACAUCUACCUAUAAAUGCAAAGAAUUUUACUUUGCUAAAGAUUUAUGGAGGUACAGCACAGAGCUUCCCAACAAUUCUAAAUCUAUUAGUAGUAAUACUAAUAAAUAUUUAGAUGCGUUCAAGUUGCGGGGACUUAGAAAAUCUUACCUUUGGAAGCGAAUCUCGAAAUAACAUAAAUUGAUGGUAGAUAUUCAGACUGCUCAAGCUAAGUUGGGCAGUCAAGACGGAAACAGCCGAGAACACUGAUCAAGGUCCCAAAUGAUAGUUAAGUGAAAAUAAGGCAGUAGCCAAUUCUAAUACAGCUGUUAAGUGAGCCUGGUAGUCGCUACUUAUAAUGAACGUACGUAACAACGCAUCAGCAGUUAAGAAUAGUCGCGCCGAUAAUUUAACGGGUCUUAAACAAUCAACCGAUAUCGUGUUGGUUAAGAAUAUACCUGGAAAAAAAAGUAAAGUAUAUUCCUAAUCUAGGUAGUAGAACAUUCAGUCUAGCCUAUAAUCUAACAGUGUUUCAUUGUUAAGUAGGAUACUGAAGAGAGAAUGCUGACAUGAGUAACGUAAAAAGAAGUUAUAAUACUUCUCGCCGAAUACGAAAGGGUUACAAAGAAAGGUUAAUCCUCUUUGUUUUAAUGCGGCCUCUAAGGACCAAAACCAAAGUUUUGGCUGAUGAGUAAUAGAAUAGAAAACCCUUUAAGGGUCAAGAAAAUAAUAUUAAUAAAUCUAAUUAAGAGUCUGAGUUUAUAUGAAAAAUAAAAAAUUUCAUAGGGUUUAACCGCCCGGCCUCCCUCUCCAGGUUAAAUCGGAAAGGAAGGUCUAGAUUAUUAGUACACGAAAUAAACUUCGUUAUUAAUAUUUAGAAUUUAUUAGCCCUACCGUACCCUAAACCGACACAGGUUCGUAGGUAGAGAAUACUAAGGCGUAGAGCUAAAAGUUGUUAAGGAACUCGGCAAACACCCCUCAAACGCUUGGCAACAAGAGGUACCAAGCAACCAAGCUUAUUGGUUGUAGUUUGUUUCUUAGACAGAUCACAUUCUCUCUCCAAAUCGGAUAGAAAAUGAAUUAAAAAAUAAACAAAUUGGUGUCACAGAAUCGGAGGCCCCGACUGUUUACUAAAAACAUAACACAGUGCAAUCAUUAAUGUGGUAGUAUACUGUGUGAAAUUUGCUCGAUGCCAUUAAUAUAAGUAAGGUCAAUUAAAAAAUGACUGAAUGAAAAUCUGGUUAAUAGCGGUCUUAACUAUGAGGAUCCUAAGGUAGCAAAAUCAUUUGGCCUUUAAAUGAGGUCCAGUAUCAAUAAUGUAACGAUGGUCUCGCUGUCUCUACAACUUGCUCAGUGAAAUUGAAUUACGCGUGCAGAUGCGCGUUGCCUCCAGGGGGACGGGAAGACCCUAUGCAGCUUUACUGUAGUUAGUUAUCAUCUUGGAUCUAGAACAUUUGUUAAUAAUAGAUUAAUAGGGAAGUACUUUUAGUACAACAGUUGGAAUACCUUAGGUUAACAAUGGGUCCUGAUUCACCUUUUAAUAAUUAAAAAAUAUUGGGGACAGGUGACUAAUUGGCAGUUUGACUGGGGCGGUCGUCUUUAAUAUAGUAGCAAAGUACAUCCAAAUAUUUUAUAAAAAAAAAAGAAAAUAGUUUUCUAAACUAUUACUUCAAAUACAAUUCUAAUACCUAACUCUCCGAAAGGUCCUUUAUUUCCAUACCGGAUCUAUUGGUUCUAGACAGAGAGAAGGGUCUUAAAUUUUAGCUUUGGACUAUUAUUAGGAAAUAGUUUCUAUCUCUGAAUGUAGAUUCAACAGUUAAAUUUUAAUAGGGUUGCUUUUUAACAAGGUAUAGCUAGACAUUGAAUGGAGAUCAAUCAACCAGUGAAGGGUUGCGAAGAGUUUAAUGGCGGAAAGCAUGCCUAACUGAAAGACCUAAAAGUCGCACAGAUACGUAAGUAGGGCAUAGUGACCCCUCGCUAUAAUAUGGAAUAGACGGGGAUCAAUUGAUAAAAGUUACGCUAGGGAUAAAACAGGCUGAUAGCGGACGAGAGUACACAUUGUCUCCGCUGUUUGGCACCUCGAUGUCGACUCAUCCUUUCCUCUGGGAGUAGAAUCUUGGAAGGGUUCGGCUGUUCGCCGAUUAAAAGGGUACGUGAGUUGGGUUUAAUUAAUACGACGUGAGUCAGUAUGGUCCCUAUCUUCUGGAGGGACAAGUAGUAAACAGGGGGAGACCUUCUAGUACGAAAGGAUCAAUAGGCUGUGUUUCUCUAGUGUACCAAUUGUUUUAUAUUAUUCUUAAUUAUUAGAAUAUAAUUAAAUAAAUGAAUAAGUAUAGACGCAUAGUUGGGUAGCCACAAACAUAUUAGAUAAAUGCUGAACGAAUAUAAAGCAAGAAUCUAACCCCUAGAUACUAACAGAUUUUAAAUUUUAAAAUCUUGAAUUAAGAAAUAGAAGAUUUCUGAAUAGGCUGCGAAUGUACAUGAUGUAAGUCAUUAAUUUAAAAUUUUUGAGUAAAUUU
This 3839-nucleotide ribosomal RNA is filed under the name Cyathus stercoreus. RNAcentral's name for it is "large subunit ribosomal RNA". The stretch from base 989 to 3839 matches the Rfam family "Bacterial large subunit ribosomal RNA". The record is from RNAcentral. Lineage: Eukaryota; Fungi; Basidiomycota; Agaricomycetes; Agaricales; Nidulariaceae.